Molecule: transfer RNA, 58 nt
Filed under: Salmo salar (Atlantic salmon)
Lineage: Eukaryota; Metazoa; Chordata; Actinopteri; Salmoniformes; Salmonidae
Source: Rfam by way of RNAcentral
UGGUUCAGUUGGUAGCGCAUGGUGUUUGCAACGCCAGGGUUGUGGGUUCGAUUCCCAC